Molecule: ribosomal RNA, 497 nt
Filed under: uncultured bacterium
Lineage: Bacteria
Description: partial 16S ribosomal RNA
Rfam family: Bacterial small subunit ribosomal RNA
Source: RNAcentral
GAUGAACGCUGGCGGCGUGCCUAAUACAUGCAAGUCGAGCGAACGGACGAGAAGCUUGCUUCUCUGAUGUUAGCGGCGGACGGGUGAGUAACACGUGGAUAACCUACCUAUAAGACUGGGAUAACUUCGGGAAACCGGAGCUAAUACCGGAUAAUAUUUUGAACCGCAUGGUUCAAAAGUGAAAGACGGUCUUUCUGUCACUUAUAGAUGGAUCCGCGCUGCAUUAGCUAGUUGGUAAGGUAACGGCUUACCAAGGCAACGAUGCAUAGCCGACCUGAGAGGGUGAUCGGCCACACUGGAACUGAGACACGGUCAAGACUCCUACGGGAGGCAGCAGUAGGGAAUCUUCCGCAAUGGGCGAAAGCCUGACGGAGCAACGCCGCGUGAGUGAUGAAGGUCUUCGGAUCGUAAAACUCUGUUAUGAGGGAAGAACAUAUGUGUAAGUAACUGUGCACAUCUUGACGGUACCUAAUCAGAAAGCCACGGCUAACUACGUG